Osmia lignaria (orchard mason bee) is the source of this 564-nucleotide long non-coding RNA. RefSeq lists it as uncharacterized. Lineage: Eukaryota; Metazoa; Arthropoda; Insecta; Hymenoptera; Megachilidae. The record is from RefSeq and is a predicted model, not a curated record.
CUUUGAAUUCCUAAGUUAAAAAAAAAUGAUUUCAGUGCAUUAGAGACAACACGACGCUAAGCUUGUUUUACGUGAAUUAUCUCCAACGCAUUGGUCGAACACACGUCACAGAAGAAAAAAAUGUGAAUGAGGAAACCGGAGAACGUUGCAACAAGAACUCGAGUUGGAGGGGCUGUACUCCGAUGCAUACAUCCAAGACACACAGCUUCUUGCCGUGCAAGUGAAUAUGCAAACAAUAUAUCGGCAUCGACACACCUGUCUCAAGCCAUUAUUUGUUCAAAUACGUUUUUAAUGAACCGUAUUUAUUAUACAAUGUCAUUUCAUUUCAAUGUAUCGAUGCAAUAUUAUAUCGAUAUACGAGCAAAGCUUUUUACAUUGUUUCUGGAGGGAAACGUUACUGAAAAUUUUAAGUAAUAUUCGAUUCACUCACUCAUAUUACUCGUUGUAAUCAGGAACAGAUGGUCGAUCCAUUUGGGUGCACUCUUAAUUACUUGUCAAUAACAUUUGCACAAUUUUUAACCCAACCAGACCGCCAAUUUUUUUUUUUUUUUAACAAAAUACCGC